RNAcentral lists this ribosomal RNA (837 nucleotides) under uncultured bacterium. RNAcentral describes it as "bacterial SSU rRNA". It matches the Rfam family "Bacterial small subunit ribosomal RNA", at positions 68 to 901 of the family's 1533-position model. The record is from RNAcentral.
GGCAGCACGGGGGCAACCCUGGUGGCGAGUGGCGAACGGGUGAGUAAUAUAUCGGAACGUGCCCAGUCGUGGGGGAUAACGUAGCGAAAGUUACGCUAAUACCGCAUACGAUCUACGGAUGAAAGCGGGGGAUCGCAAGACCUCGCGCGAUUGGAGCGGCCGAUAUCAGAUUAGGUAGUUGGUGGGGUAAAGGCUCACCAAGCCAACGAUCUGUAGCUGGUCUGAGAGGACGACCAGCCACACUGGGACUAAGGCACGGCCCAGACUCCUACGGGAGGCAGCAGUGGGGAAUUUUGGACAAUGGACGCAAGUCUGAUCCAGCCAUUCCGCGUGCAGGACGAAGGCCUUCGGGUUGUAAACUGCUUUUGUACGGAACGAAAAAGCCUUGGCUAAUACCCAGGGUCCAUGACGGUACCGUAAGAAUAAGCACCGGCUAACUACGUGCCAGCAGCCGCGGUAAUACGUAGGGUGCGAGCGUUAAUCGGAAUUACUGGGCGUAAAGCGUGCGCAGGCGGUUAUAUAAGACAGAUGUGAAAUCCCCGGGCUCAACCUGGGAACUGCAUUUGUGACUGUAUAGCUAGAGUGCGGCAGAGGGGGAUGGAAUUCCGCGUGUAGCAGUGAAAUGCGUAGAUAUGCGGAGGAACACCGAUGGCGAAGGCAAUCCCCUGGGCCUGCACUGACGCUCAUGCACGAAAGCGUGGGGAGCAAACAGGAUUAGAUACCCUGGUAGUCCACGCCCUAAACGAUGUCAACUGGUUGUUGGGUCUUCACUGACUCAGUAACGAAGCUAACGCGUGAAGUUGACCGCCUGGGGAGUACGGCCGCAAGGUUGAAACU